Molecule: long non-coding RNA, 6262 nt
Organism: Cydia pomonella (codling moth)
Lineage: Eukaryota; Metazoa; Arthropoda; Insecta; Lepidoptera; Tortricidae
Exons: 2
Source: RefSeq, a predicted model, not a curated record
GUACACUGGUAUGUCAACAUGGGGUAACUUUGAAGAAGAGACACCAGCAGCUUGAACUGUAUCUGACCCUCUUAGAGACCUGAGAGCCUCAUUAAUCUUCGCUAUUGUGUUAAAGUAGCGGUCCUCAAAGUCACCUGCAUCCUCUGUGUCCUUGUCAUCAAGGCUCAAUAUGUCCAGUUGGAAUCCCUCGUAAUCUUUGAGGGAAGAGGCUAGCUUCUCUUUUCGAGCCUCCAAGGUAUCAAGAGAGGCGGAAUUUAAGGUAGGUAUUGGGAUCGUUGACAAACUGCUCGAUGCGAGUCAUAGUUGCUUUGACUUGGCCGCGCAUUAUUUUUAACUUCUUGAGCUCCGCCAUUGUUGUAUUUCACGAAACAAAUGCUCAAUCCUGUUUAAGCACAAACCCGCACUUUGAUAACACACAUUUGUUAAUAAUUGCAGUUGAAAUAUGUAAUAAAGUUGCAAAGCCGCGGUUGUCGCGUAAUUUUUUCCACUUGGCUUUAGCUGUGUUAACUGAAAGAGAAUAAAAUCAAGGUUAAUUUUGUGAAAGUAAUAUAAUAAAAUAUAUUUACAGGUAUUUAGCAACUGGCAGCAAGUUUUCAACCAUUGCAGAAAAUUUUAGAAUUGGAAAAAGUACUGUAUCAAAGAUUAUUCCAGAAGUUUGUGGUUGCAUUUGGAAGGUGCUGCAGCCGUUAUACAUGCCAGUACCAAAUAAAGAUGAUUGGUAUAUAAUAGCAAAAGAUUUUGCAGACUUGUGGCAAUUCAAGAAUUGUGCUGGUGCGCUGGACGGCAAACAUGUGUACAUUAAUGCACCAAAAAAUUCAGGGUCUUCAUUUUUUAAUUAUAAACACAGAUUUUCAAUCGUUUUAAUGUGUGUAGCCGACGCUAAAAGGAAAAUAAUAAUGGCAGAUAUUGGGUCGAUGGGGAGGUUCAGUGAUGGAGGAAUAUUCUCUGAUAGCGAAUUUGGAAGGAGACUACAAAACAAAGCUUUAGAUUUACCACCACCUGAACCACUAACUCGAACCAGUACCAUUCGUAUUUAUUGGGGACGAAGCUUUUCCCUUGUCUUAUAAUUUAAUGCGUCCAUAUCCUAGAGAUCAAUUGAAUGCAAGCAAAAAAAUAUUUAAUUACAGGCUAUCAAGAGCUCGUCGUAUUGUAGAGGCGACAUUCGGUGUGUUGAAAAGGAAAUGGUAUGUGUAUCACAGAGAAUUUGAAUGCCAAGUCGAUACUGUCGAUAAAAUUGUUAAAGCAACAUGCAUUUUACAUAAUUAUUAGAUUGAAAACCAGCCAAACUUUUUAAAUGAAAUAAAUGCAGAUGCAGUACCAAGAGACGAGAGGGAUAGCAAUACAUUGAUGAUAACAAAUAAUGCAAGUACAAAUGAAAUUUACCGGAUCCGAGAUAUAUUUUGUGAUUACUUCAACAACGAGGGUAAAGUCCCGUGGCAGGAGACCCGUAUUUUGCGACGCCUGAGCAAUUUAUAAAUUAAAUAAAUACGUAUUGUACUUACCAUUCUGAAUAUUUGUUUCAUUCACCACUAACUGCCACGCUGCAUCCUUCGUCUCAUUACACUUGUAAGUAGUAAGUUGAGUGUUCCACAAACAUGGGUACUUUUUGACACUUUCAAUGAACAAUUCGUCACCCAUUGUGAAUCGUGCGCAGGUGUGUAGUAUCGGUGACGCUAGCGGUCCAACUGACUGUGCGGCUCGAUUAGAAUCCCGCCCCUCCACUCUGCUUCGCCCCUCUGGGCCCGUGAUUACACGUCUCCUCUCCGCUCAGCUCGUCUCCGCUUGACUAUUUCCAUUGAAUCGGAGCGGAGCGGAGAUGAGAUGUGGAUUUCACGUAAUAUGAUUGGUCAAUCCCCACACGUCUCCUCUCAGCUCCGCCCGUCUCCGCUUGACUGUUUCCAUUGAAGCGGAGCGGAGACGAGAUGUGGAUUUCAUGUAAUACGAUUGGUCGAUCCCCACACGUCUCCUCUCAGCUCCGCUCGUCUCCGCUUGACUGUUUCCAUUGAAGCGGAGCGGAGACGAGAUGUGGAUUUCAUGUAAUACGAUUGGUCGAUCCCCACACGUCACCUCUCAGCUCCGCUCGUCUCCGCUUGACUGUUUCCAUUGAAGCGGAGCGGAGACGAGAUGUGGAUUUCAUGUAAUACGAUUGGUCGAUCCCCACACAUCUCCUCUCAGCUCCGCUCGUCUCCGCCUCAAUGAAGCCGCAGCCUUAUAGCACAGAACGAAUAGAACGCUGACCGCGCAUCAUAGACACAACUAUUCUCAAAUGUUGCAAGCAACAAAUAUUAGCACUAAUGUUAAACAUACAAUGUUUAAAGCUAUGUUCAGACUUGUCUUGAACAGUGUCAAUUGGUUGGCAGGAACUGUCCAAACCGAGCACUGUUUUGCUGUGCGGACCACUUAAAUGUAAGUUACCUUGUUUUGUUUACCAUUCUGUAAAAAAAUGAAUUACCCCAUGUUAGUUUUGAUGAUAUGGCAUUUUUUUAAAUUGUGGAAUAAUGGAUGGAAUAAUUUAUGGUAAGCUGGUAAAAAACAAUUUUAUUAAUACAUUACAUUAAUGUGGGUGCUGCUAUGUCAUGUUUAAACCCAUAUCAAUGAAUUUUCACUUUGUAUUAAAAUAACAUGUGGUAUUUGUCAGUACAUGGUGAACAAAAACACUAUGAGGAAACUGGGCUGAUCAAAACAAUGCCUAGUUUCCUCCAGUUAAAAAAAUGUGUGCCUAUGCCAACACCAAUACUUAAUGUUAUAUUGCCCAGCAGACCCCAGGCUCCAUAAGUGAGCUACAGCAAAUACUGGGGAACAUUUGGAAGAUUAUGACAACUGUUAAAUAUAAAUGUUUAAUGUUUUCUAAUAUUUUUACAGUUUGAAGAAGAAUUGGAAAAUUAUGGACAAUGGAUCUCUGGUGCAAACCCAAGACUGAAAAUAAAUGCCAUACUUAAGAAUUUUUCAAAAAACCAAGUGCAAUCAAUAAGAAUAUUGAAGAUCUUAAUCGACCAUCAACUUCAAGUGCUGCUGACAAUGCUGGAAUGCAGGUCUCUGACAGUGUAAAUAUUCACAAUAGUGUUGCGCACAUAAAUGUAUUAAUAUUCUUGGGUAUAGAUUUGACACACUGCAUUUAAAUACCAACUUUACUUUGCUACCUGUGCCAAUUAUUUUUUUUUUUUAAUUUUCUUAAAUCACUAAUUUACAAGUUCUAAUGUAUGUUAACUAGAGGUGUGCGCCGAAGGCUAAUCCAUCGGCGGCGGCGUCUGGUCCAAAAAUAGCCGGCGGCGUCGGCGUAAUCGGCGUAAUUAAUAAAAACAACUAAAAUUUGAUUUUUUUUGCAGUUUUUUUUUCCUUCGAUUAAUUGAGUUGCUAGAGUAAAAUUUUCCAGGUUAAGAGACUCAUUCAAGUAAUGUAAGGUCAAUGUCAAAUAAUGAUUUCUUUUAUACGAGUCGCUCCACAAAUCGGUUGUUAAGGCUACAGACCUCGGGCUGGAACUUUGUAUUAGAACUUUGAUGUGUGCUUUCAUACUACGAAACACAUCUUCUAGUGCAGUUCUCGAAAUCGUAGUACGUGAAGGAAGAUCUUGUUUCUUAACUAUGACCUUGUAUUUGAGAAAAAAAUCUAUCAUCGCCUCGUCGGACACGGAAUAAAAAGGUAAUAAAGAUCUGCAUAUCCACAAAGCCAGAUCACGAGCCAGGAGCCAUUUUCGGUUUCUAUUUGUUUCUGACGACAAGGUAUCUGCGACCGAUGCGCGUCGUGUAUCAAAAAAUGUGGUUAUUCUUUGAACUUCAGCACGAGUUUUUUCAGGUUCUUGGAUCUGGUGAUCAUCCUUUAAAUGUCGUAUAAGAUUGCCCGUGCUUACUUUUGCGCCGUAGGUUUUUAUUUUACAGCUGGAAACAAAACCAUUAAUUUUAUGUGCAUGCAGCCAAACACCAGCUAAACACUCGGCCAUAACCAUACGUGAGCUAACUUGGGGCACAAAUACUAAAGUGGUACGAGUUUACCAAAAUAUUUUAGGACAAGAAUAUCGAUGUGACCUACUGUCAACGUAUAGAUAUAGAUACAGAAAAUAUUCUGCAAAUAUUAUUUUAUUCUGACUUCAUUUUAAAACAUAAACCAUCGUGUAUUUGUAUUAGUGUUUAAUUUUUAAAUAGUUUUUUAUGGUACCUAUACAUUUUUAUUAAUUUCUUAUUUUGAUUUAAAUGACAUCCAUUACAUAUAGAUAGGCUCGAUAAUCUCGAUAUCCAACAUCAUGAAAUGAAACUGAACCUCUUUAUAAUAAUAAUAAUCAAAAAUGUCAAUGGACAUAAUUAUUUAUGUACAUCUUAUUUAACGAUAUCAAAUCCUUAAUGUUGCUCUGCCCCGACUUAGCAGUGUUAGUACACGUACAAUGUUAAAUGCAUAAAACAAAACAGAAACACGCUUAACACAAUGCAAAAUGCAGACAAAAAAUCUCUAUCUAAACACAAGACGAUUAAAAAUAGAAAAUGCGAUAAUAUUGCAUAAUUACAUUAUUAAGUACAUUUAAUUUUAUUUUAUAUUGAUAUGUGCGUAGAUAAAGAUCCAGAUUACGUAUAAAUUAGGUAAAUUAAGUCUCAAUAAUAUUAGUAUUAUUAAAAAAAUCGACUUAAACGUAUUUAUUUCUGAAACCACACUCGUGUUUAAUACGUUUCUAUACAAACAAAAUGUUAGUAACUGAAGUAGGCAAGGCACCCGAAGAAAUACAAAACAAUUAAAGCAAAAUAAUCGAUUUCACACCCAAAAAAAGUAUAAAAGUGCACUUACCAUCCCAUAAGAUCAUCAUCUUUGUUAGAUUUACAUGUAUCAAUACAUUUUGAACAAAAUACGUUGUCUAUGAGCAGAUGAGCACCGAUCGCUUCUUGCCAUCCUUUUCAAGUAGCAAUGUACCAAAAUACUUCCAACAAAAACUGCUUUUUGACGACGAAUGCAAUGUUUUCACUGAAAAAUGCUUAAUUGCAUGUCUUUCGACUGCUUUUUUAUCAAAAUAGUCCGACAUUGUGGUUGCGUAACAUUGAACGUGCGAUCCGCGUCUACUCAAAAUGGUUGACUGACUCCCCGCGUCGCGCUGCGUAUGGCCUUCAUGCCUCGCCCCACCCGUCGAGCGCCCCGUACCCCGCACCGCGCAGGAGAGCACGCAGAAGAGUUUAUUAUUGCUUAUUCCGCGCGCCUUAUUUAUUGCGUUUUACUACUACGGACCACUGGGCGCUGUCCGCUUCGCAAUUUUCUCGUCUUUCGUUUGGCGUGUGUGUUGUGUACUUUUACUACGCUUAACACAGUAAAUUAACGCUGCAUGUACUCGCGCGCGAGCGUGAAUUAAUUUAUAUGCCUUGUUGGAAUGUACAUACAUACACAGAACGGACCAAAAUUCAAGUUCUAACUUCACGCCGAUUUCACGCCGGUGGAAUGAUCGGCGGCCGGCGGCGUGGCAAAAAUGACCGGCGGCGUACGCCACGCCGGUCGGCGCACACCUCUAAUGUUAACGUAGUAUUGUUAAAUAAGCACUUGACCUGCUCUAGCACAUGAUUGGCGCGACAGUAUCUCGCGCCGAGAUACACUACCCGCCCCUCUUAAAUUAACAUAGAAAAAGACGGGUAGUCUAUCUCGCUGCGAUAUACUGUAGCGCCAGUCAUGUGCAAGCCCUACUGAAAAGGUAUAGGUAAAAAUUACUAGUGGUCUUUGUGCAUGAAGAUGUAUUUAUAGAACACAGGCAUGGAUAUAAUGUCAAAUAUUUAUAUACAAAUGCACCUACUACAAUUUGUGUGGCUUUAAUAAUUUGAAUUUAAUAAAUGCCCACUUUCCUUACCUAAAAAUAAACUUUUACCUGUUUCUGUGAUUGUUAAAUUGUAGGGUCACAAGUUGCAUUAUAUUUUGUUUAUUUAUUCUUUGCAUUUUUGUUUCAGAUAGAUGUAGCUAUACAGUGUGAUAAAAGAAUUUGAUAUGGAAAAAAAGGAUUUAUUUUGAAUAAAAAAAUUUACUCCUAUAAACGAAAAAAAUUUCAAUUUUCUUAAGGUACUGAUACACAUGCUCUAUAAUAGCAUGCUUAAAAGUGUGCUUAUGAGCAUGCUUGGUUUGAGCGUGCUUAUGCACUGUUCACAUUUGCUACAAAUAAGCAUGCUAAUUUUGAGCAUACUUACGAAUCAGCAUGCUCAAAGCAAAUACUCCGAAUACACAUGCCAUUUAGUAGCGUGCUCUCUGCCACGAACGAUGGACGACGUAGCUUUCCGCCUAGAGCUCAAUAAAAUCAUUAUGAUAAAUA